This 799-nucleotide long non-coding RNA is filed under the name Mytilus galloprovincialis (Mediterranean mussel). Lineage: Eukaryota; Metazoa; Mollusca; Bivalvia; Mytilida; Mytilidae. The record is from RNAcentral.
GUUGAUAUCAAUGUUGGGUGGUUUUAGAAUAUAAAAAUGUAACUUUGAUGGAAAUUUGAUUUCUAUUUUUUUUUAAAUGAGAGUACAUAUUGUUUUGACAUACUAUAAGUUUAUACUGAAAAAAUAACGACUGGUUUAUUUUACAAUCAGAGGAGGAUUUAGGGGGGCCUAGACCCCCCCCCCCUUUUGAGAAAAACAUUUGGUUGGUUAUUUAGGGAUACACUGAAGCGUGAAGGGAGCGAGCCGAGUCCUCUCUUAGGCAGCCAGUGGGCCCCCACUUAUGCAAAUUUCUAGAUCCGCCAUUGUUCGACACACUCUUUACUAAGCGUUACAUUUUAAUAAGGCUUUGUAAUGACUUAGUACUUCAUCCCUCUGUUAGUUGUCUGUAAAUCCUCAUCCCUCUGUUAGUUGUCUAUAAAUCCUCAUCCCUCUGCUCCUAUGCCAACAUCAAGCAAAGUUUUCCACACAAACUUUUGUUUGGGCUAUCUUGCAUUGAUGUGUUCUUAUAACUUCAAUUUUAAGAUGAGAACAAAGCAUGAUUUUUGUAAUCCAGAAGAGGUUCAAAUUACUAGGUUUCGCGGAAAUUCGCUCUAUGAUAUUGUUUUGUGUUUGUUCUUUGAGAUUCUUUUUUUUUGUCAUGGAGAACCAUUUCACAAUUGUUUUAUUUCAUUUUUCAAAAAACUGUAUAUGAAAUUCAAAGGUUGCAAUAUAAUAGCAUUUGGCAGAUGCACAAAACAUUAAUGAUAAAAAUAAAAUUUGAUCAAGGUUGCACUGUAAAAAUAUCACAUCAAACUCAAAA